This 69-nucleotide transfer RNA is filed under the name Antrostomus carolinensis (chuck-will's-widow). Its description in RNAcentral is "tRNA-Glu". Lineage: Eukaryota; Metazoa; Chordata; Aves; Caprimulgiformes; Caprimulgidae. The record is from RNAcentral.
GUUCUCGUAGUUGAAUUACAACAGCGAUUUUUCAAGUCGCAGAUUUUGGAGAGAAGCCAAGCGGGAAUU